This is a non-coding RNA of Coregonus clupeaformis (lake whitefish), 421 nucleotides long. The record is from the annotation of a RefSeq genome assembly. NCBI's taxonomy places the organism in Eukaryota, Metazoa, Chordata, Actinopteri, Salmoniformes, Salmonidae.
CCAGUCUCUUCCCUUGCUUCUAGAAUCUUAGAACUCACCAACAAUGAGAGUUCUAGAAUGUGUGUUCCUCCUGACUCUCAUCUCAGCUGUUCAGGGGCAGUCACUCACCUCCUCUGAGCCAGUGGUGAAGAGACCUGGAGAGCCAGUGACCUUGUCCUGUAGUGUGUCUGGGCUUUCUCUAAGCUAUCUACAUUGGAUAUGUCAGAAACCAGGGAAAGGACUGGAGUGGAUUGGACGCAUUGACAGUGGCACUGGCACUAUAUUUGCCCAGUCUCUCCAGGGCCAGUUCAUCAUCACCAAAGACAGCUCCAAAAACCAGCUGUACUUAGAGGUGAAAAGCCUGAAGCCUGAAGACUCUGCUGUUUAUUAUUGUGCCAGAGACACAGUGACACAGGAGGCUGCAGGACCGUACAAAAACUGA